GAUGAACGCUGGCGGCGUGCUUAACACAUGCAAGUCGAACGGUGAAGGCGGAGCUUGCUCUGCUGGAUCAGUGGCGAACGGGUGAGUAACACGUGAGCAAUCUGCCCCUGACUCUGGGAUAAGCGCUGGAAACGGCGUCUAAUACUGGAUACGAGCUGCGAAGGCAUCUUCAGCAGCUGGAAAGAAUUUCGGUCAGGGAUGAGCUCGCGGCCUAUCAGCUUGUUGGUGAGGUAAUGGCUCACCAAGGCGUCGACGGGUAGCCGGCCUGAGAGGGUGACCGGCCACAAUGGGACUGAGAGACGGCCCAGACUCCUACGGGAGGCAGCAGUGGGGAAUAUUGCACAAUGGGCGAAAGCCUGAUGCAGCAACGCCGCGUGAGGGACGACGGCCUUCGGGUUGUAAACCUCUUUUAGCAGGGAAGAAGCGAAAGUGACGGUACCUGCAGAAAAAGCGCCGGCUAACUACGUG
Molecule: ribosomal RNA, 468 nt
Filed under: uncultured bacterium
Lineage: Bacteria
Description: partial 16S ribosomal RNA
Rfam family: Bacterial small subunit ribosomal RNA
Source: RNAcentral